AAAAGCGUCAAAGCUUCACCUUAAGAAUACCUUAAAUCUCAUUACAUUAUCAAAAUCCAUCAUUACUACUAAGCUAUUCUAUAUCUUUAUAGAAAAAUUUAUGUUAGGACUAGUAACAAAGAAUUUUUCUCUUAUAUGUAAGCUUAAAUCAACCCGAAUACCUCCUUGAUAAUUAUUCAACUUUGAUCCCAGAGUAACACCACUUUACUUACAAAAACCCUACUCAAUUUAUUGUUAACCAAACACUUGAACAUAAAAGAAAGAUAAAAGAAUUAAGAAGGAACUCGGCAAACACAAGUCCCGCCUGUUUACCAAAAACAUCGCCUUUUGAAUAAUAUAAAAGGUAACGCCUGCCCAGUGACACUAUGUUUAACGGCCGCGGUAUUCUGACCGUGCGAAGGUAGCGUAAUCAUUUGUCUUUUAAAUGGAGACUUGUAUGAAAGGCAUCACGAGGACUUAACUGUCUCCUUAAUUUAAUCAGUGAAACUGAUCUCCCCGUAAAAAAGCGGAGAUAAAACCAUAAGACGAGAAGACCCUAUGGAGCUUAAAACAAUAAACUACUUGUAUAAUCUGCUAUUUAAUACCACUAAAAUACAAAUCUAGCCUAAGUUUUCUGUUGGGGCGACUGUGGAGAAAAACUUAUCCUCCAUGAAGAAUAAACUUUGAGCUACCACUCUUAGUAUUAGCAAGCCUAACUUAAAUUGAUCCAAUCUUUGAUCAACGGACCAAGUUACCCUAGGGAUAACAGCGCAAUCUAUUUCAAGAGUCCCUAUCGACAAAUAGGUUUACGACCUCGAUGUUGGAUUAGGACAUCCUAGUGGUGUAGCCGCUACUAACGGUUCGUUUGUU
This 849-nucleotide ribosomal RNA is filed under the name Leptobrachium hasseltii (Java spadefoot toad). Its description in RNAcentral is "partial 16S ribosomal RNA". It matches the Rfam family "Bacterial large subunit ribosomal RNA", at positions 1478 to 2581 of the family's 2925-position model. Lineage: Eukaryota; Metazoa; Chordata; Amphibia; Anura; Megophryidae. The record is from RNAcentral.